RNAcentral lists this ribosomal RNA (253 nucleotides) under uncultured bacterium. RNAcentral's name for it is "partial 16S ribosomal RNA". It matches the Rfam family "Bacterial small subunit ribosomal RNA", at positions 524 to 776 of the family's 1533-position model. The record is from RNAcentral.
UACGUAGGGUGCGAGCGUUGUCCGGAAUUAUUGGGCGUAAAGGGCUCGUAGGCGGUCUGUUGCGUCGGGAGUGAAAACUCAGGGCUUAACCCUGAGCCUGCUUCCGAUACGGGCAGACUAGAGGUAUGCAGGGGAGAACGGAAUUCCUGGUGUAGCGGUGAAAUGCGCAGAUAUCAGGAGGAACACCGGUGGCGAAGGCGGGUCUCUGGGCCGAUACUGACGCCGAGGAGCGAAAGCGUGGGGAGCAAACAGG